This 468-nucleotide long non-coding RNA is filed under the name Helianthus annuus (common sunflower). RNAcentral describes it as "sRNA HanXRQr2_Chr13g0584191". The record is from RNAcentral. Lineage: Eukaryota; Viridiplantae; Streptophyta; Magnoliopsida; Asterales; Asteraceae.
GUUCACAACUUAAAAGCAUGCGUCCCGGUGCAUGCGUCCCGGUGGUUUGGGACAACUGGUAAACAUUUGGAAGGGAAACAUUGGGUAAAUAACUUAAUCGGUUUUGGUUAUUGCCUGGAGGGCAAUGGGGGUGAUUAGUUGAUAGCGCUAUUAGGUGGGAAACCUCACACCGGGCCGUAAGGACGGGCGUGAACUAAUUAUCUGGGUAUGGCUAUGGUUGUUAGAGGCACACUCCUCGGAUACAUACGGGCACUCUCCCUAGGGUAUCUAACGAAGGCAACAUAGCAAACGGUCGUUAAGGGGUACCCACUCCCCGGAUACAUAUGGGCACAUUCCCUAGGGUAUCUAGCAUGAGCAACAUUGUAUCGCAGUGUUAAAUCGUAUUAACAUACAUAUGGUAACAUAACUUGUUAACAAAACCUUGAACUCACCAGCGUAGUCUGACACACUUGUUUACAUGCUUGUAGG